AAUAUCGCACAAUGGAGGAAACUCUGAUGCAGCGACGCCGCGCGAACGACGAAGGCAUUCGGGUCGUAAAGUUCUGCCCUUGGGGACGAUAAUGACGGUACCCCAGGAGGAAGCCACGGCUAACUACGUGCCAGCAGCCGCGGUAAUUCGUAGGGGGCGAGCGUUGUCCGGAAUUAUUGGGCGUAAAGGGUUCGCAGGCGGUCUUUUAAGUCAGAUGUUAAAUGCAUAGGCUCAACCUAUGAGUGCAUUUGAAACUGGAAGACUUGAGUUAAGGAGAGGAAAGUGGAAUUCCUAGUGUAGCGGUGAAAUGCGUAGAUAUUAGGAGGAAUACCAGUGGCGAAGGCGACUUUCUGGACUUAAACUGACGCUGAGGAACGAAAGCAUGGGGAGCAAACAG
This 397-nucleotide ribosomal RNA is filed under the name uncultured bacterium. RNAcentral's name for it is "partial 16S ribosomal RNA". It matches the Rfam family "Bacterial small subunit ribosomal RNA", at positions 360 to 775 of the family's 1533-position model. The record is from RNAcentral.